AUAAAUUUUUGUAUUUAAUUUAAUUUAUUUAAAAAAUAAAAUUAUUAAAUUGAAUGUAGUAAUUAAUAUUAAUAAAUUUAAGAAAUUAAGAUUUAGUAAUAUUUAAAUUAAUAACAAAUUUUGUGCCAGCAGUUGCGGUUAAACAAAAAUUAAAUUAAAAUUUAUUAGUUAUUAAUUAAUAUAAGAUAAUAUAAUUAAUUAAAUUUUAAAUUAUUAAGUGAAAUUUUAAUUUAAUUAAAAUUAAUUUAUAAAUUAUAAUUUAAUAAAUUUUGGUAUUAAACUAGGAUUAGAUACCCUAUUAUAAAAAAAUUAAAUAUAAAUACUAAAAUAGUAAUUAAUUAUUUAUUGAAACUUAAAUAAUUUGGCGGUAUUUUAGUUCAUUUAGAGGAAUCUGUUUAAUAAUUGAUAAUCCACGAAUAAAUUUACUUAAUUUAUUAUUUUGUAUAUCGUUGUUAAAAAAAUAUUUUUAAAUAAUAAUAAUAUUUAAAAUUAAAAAAAAAAAUUAAAUCAGAUCAAGAUGCAGAUUAUAAUUAAGAAUAUAAUGGAUUACAAUAAAUUUAUUUAUUAACUAAUAUUAUCUUGUAAAAGUUAAUUGAGGGUGGAUUUAAAUGUAAUUUUAUUUAAUUUAUUAAAAUGAUUAAAAAUUAAAAUAUGUACAUAUUGCCCGUCGCUUUCAUUAAUAAAUUGGAAUAAGUCGUAACAAAGUAGAGGUACUGGAAAGUGUUUCUAGAAAUAA
Molecule: ribosomal RNA, 736 nt
Filed under: Prophantis adusta
Lineage: Eukaryota; Metazoa; Arthropoda; Insecta; Lepidoptera; Crambidae
Description: 12S ribosomal RNA
Source: RNAcentral